UUAAUAUCCAUAUGCAAAAAUAUGCUGACAAUACAUUAAUUUUGGAUUUUUCAUUUUUAUCAGAAAUCGUGAGUGGAGGAUCUCAAGUCCACAUUUUUUGGGGUGCUCCAGUUGCUCCACUGAAAAUGACAGUAUCAGAAGACACAGCUUCUUUAAUGUCUGUUGCUGACCCCUGGAAAAAAAUUCAGCUUUUAUACAGUCAACAUUCUUUAUAUCUGAAGGAUGAAAAACAGCACAAAAAUCUUGAAAACUAUAAAGUCCCAGAAUCUAUUGGUUCUCCAGAUCUUAGUGGUCAUUUCUUAGCAAACUGUAUGAAUAGACAUGUUCAUGUGAAAGAUGACUUUGUACGUUCUGUUUCUGAAACACAGAAUAUAGAAUCCCAGAAGAUUCACUCCUCUAGACUGAGUGAUAUAACUAGCUCUAAUAUGCAAAUAUGUGGAUUUAAAAGCACAGUUCCGCAUUUAACCGAAGAAGAAAAGUAUCAAAACUUCUCAGUGAAAAUAAAAUUAGAGAUGAACAGCCUAAACAUCAGCCAGAUAUAUGUGUCCUAGCUUUCAGAAUGCUCUCCUUGAAAUUUCUCGUCUGUUCCUUUUUUCUGAAGAACAUGCAUCCUGAAUGUUGGAUCAUGAAAAGUCUUGAAUGCUGUACUAGCUCUUCCUGGCUAGGCAGUGGGGAACCACUGUUUUUUAGUAAGUCACCUGAACUCAUUAAUGCUCUGAUAUAUCACUCGCCUGAACUCAUUAAUGCUCUGAUGAAUGACUCAUUAGCAUUGUAAGAAAUGGGUUGCAGGCGGGACAAGCACCUGUUGGGAGGGAAAGGAAUGUGUAAUGUAAAACAGUAGUAGUGGUGGGGCAUGGGCACAUUUAAGCAGCAGAGGGGUAGGUGGGGGCUGGUGGCAAGGAGUGGGAAGGGAGAGGCAAGAUGACUUCAGAUUUUAGUUUACUUGAUUAGCAGCAUAGCGUCAACAAAUGAGUUGGGCGCUAUGAAAGGAAAAGCAGGUUUGGACAUUGCUGAGUUUGGGGAGCCAAUGGAAUAUCCAGGUGGGAAUUUCCAUUAGGCAGUUGUAGGUAAAAGGUUCAAAAGCUGAGGAAAGGGUCUGGAAUCUAAAUCUGUAAGUAAUCACUUGGAAUUUAUACAUCCUUGGUUUUCUUUCCUAUUAUCUCUAAAUUAUUUCACUGUUGUUAAUACAUGUUUAUACCUCUGACACUGUAUGCUGAUUAGAUCCUGCCUUAGAGAUAGCUCCCUUCCCCUCUUUCUCUUUACAGCUCACACGUUUUGCUCUACCUACAAUUGUUUCUACCUGUUGGUAUGUUUAGUUCUACCUGAUUCUACUCUAUCCGUCUUAGAUAUACAACUCUCUCUUUCCAGUUGGAAAAUGUUCCCUACCUCCAAAGUCUUUCACUUUUAACUUAUGUGGAAGAUAAUUAUAGUGCUAUUUAGGGAAAAAUAAUCAAGUGUGUUAAGAAUGCCUUAUAUUCAGAUAUAUUUAUAGUAGAAGGGACCAGUUCAUACUGAAUAUUAUUACUCUCCUAGGCACUAUGGCUUUGGAACCACUACUUUGCCUUCUGGUCCUAAAAAAAAUUAUUUUUAAUGUAUCAGAAAUAUACAUGAUAACAUUUUCCUUAUGUAAAUAAAAACUAUUAAACCUUUUUUAUAUAGAGCAGUGGACUUCCAUACUGCUAUCAUUUGAAUAUAAAGAAGCAAUUUUGUUAAUUUACCUAGAUUUAGAUUUUAGAUUUGCUGUUUUGUCAUUUCGUGCCUUUAGGCAGGUUAUUUAACCUAUUUGAUCUCUACUUGCUUGGUAUAUGGGAGGCAUGCAUAAUAUUUUGUUGUGACUAGUAGGUUAACCACAUUGUGAAGGAAUUUAUGGCAUGAUCAGAAUGUUUUUUCUCUCUCUAGAUGUUGUUAUUCAUGAGGACCAAUGGAUUGGUGAGACAGUACUACAAUCAACAUUUAGCAGUCAGUUAUUAAAUCUUGGGAGUUAUUCAUCUAUUCAGCCUGAAGAAUGUAAGGCACAUUUUAAAUGAAGUAAUGUAUUAGUGUUUAAAGUAUAAAAACAUACUAGGAAAGAUUAGGGUUAAAAUGGUUCUUUUACAAAAUGUUUUCUAAACAGUUGGAGAGUAUUGGUUUCUUUUCAUUAGUAAGAAUGAAAAUAGAAUUUUAAGAAAUGAACUUGUACAUUGUAAAUCACAUUUAUUUUAAGAAGUAUUGGGUCUCAUGUUUCGUUUUCUUAGGCCAUCAGUAUAGUGGUUCUUCACCUUUUAGGGAGUCAGAGACCUCUUUGAGAAUCUAUAGACCAUUUCUCCAGAAAACUGGACUUAUGUAGAUAGGCACAAAAUUUUGCUUAUAAUUCUAAAGCAUUCCAUGGACCUCUGAAGUUCUUCUGUGGAACUUCUGAGCCUCUGAUUAAGAAUCCUUGAGGUAAUAAAAAUGUAUUGGUCUCGUAUUCAGACAGCUGUGGUUUGAAUCCUUAUUCUCCUGUCUACCACUGCUAAGAAAAGCUAUCUUUCUUCUUUAAUGUCCAGUUUUCUCUUCUUUAAAAGAAGCUGUUUAAUGAGGAAACUAGCAGCUAUCUCCUCCUCUAGGAAAUAAAAUAACAUAAAAAAAAGAAAGAAAACAAAGUAAGGGAAACAGUAUAAACUUGUGGUUUUGGUCACUGGACUCAGAUAGACCAGGAUUUGAAUCCUGGCCCUCUUACUUCCAGUCUUUGUCUUUAGGCAAGUUAUUUCACUUCACUAUACCUUUAUCUCCUUUUCUGUGAAAUGGAGAUAAAAAUACGUAUAUACCUUAUAGGGUUGUUAUGAAGAUUAAGUGAGAAAAUGAAUAUAAGAUGUUGAACCUGCACAUAAUGUAGUAGUAACAUAGUAAUAUUAGAGGGAGAAAUAAUAAGCUAGCAAAAUAUAUUUGAUAAAAUGCUGAAAUAUCAUACAAGAAAAUAGCUAGAGAAAUAUGCUGAUUAUACAAGAAGAUAACUGGAAUAAUAGGAAAGUUAUAGGAUGUAUAUGGAAGAUAGAGCAUGGAAUUCCAAUCUUUGAAUUCUUAAAGAAAGGCAGAGCAAGUAGAAGGGAAGAGCAACAAUUAGAAUAACAAGAACUGUGUUUGGAAUGGGCAAGGUUUCAUUAUAUACUAGGGUGGCCCAUCAGCAGAAAACCAACUCUGACAUAUUUCAUAGACAACUCAAAUAGAGUUCUUCAUCUAUCCAAUAUAUAUUAAUUAUGUGUUGACAUUAUUUCAGGAACUGUGUUUACUGUACACUGGGGGUACAAUGGUGCCUGUCCUCCUGGAGCUUAUGUUCUCAUGUGGAAGACAGACCAAAAAAAAUGAAUGAAACAGACAUAUAAGUAAAAUAUUUGCAGGUGAUAAUGAGUGCUAUGAAGGAAACUAACAAAGGGUUAAGAUACAGAAUGCCAUGGUUCUAGUUGAGAAGGAUUGAUCAUGGAGUAGAAUCAGGGUUAGGAAGUUGUUACAAUAGCUGCAGUUGAGAGAUAAUGGGAGGCCAGUGGAGCUAAAGAGCCGAGAUAUAUUUGUAAAUAGAGUUAAUAGGAUUUUCUGAUGAUGUGGGUCUGGGGAUCAGGGAAGAGGGACAAUCUACUGCUACUGGAUUACUGGUUUAAGUAACUAGGUAGCCUUUAUUGGGAAAGACUGAGAGGGAACUGGUUUGUGGGGAAAAGGGCUAUGUUUCAAGGCAUGUUAAGUUUUAGAUAUCUUUGAGAUAUUCAAGUGGAAAUGUCAUAUAAGAACUGGAAACAAAGUUCAGGACUCAGAAGACAGGUUUAAAAUUAAGAGGCAAAUUUUAGAGUUAUUAGCAUACAGAUAAUAUUUCAAAUUUAAAAGUUUUUAAAAUAUUAUCUGUAUAAUUAUAGAAUCACAGGGGAUUGCAAAAAUAAUACAUAAAGUCCCAUGAACUCUUCUUCUAGCUUCUCCCAAUGGUGAUAUCUUAUAUAACUUUAGUACAAUAUCAACAACAGGAAAUCAACAUUUGUAUAAUACUGUUAACUAGUAAUAUACUAGGAUACUUUCCCUUUCAGUAUCAAUAAAUAUAGUAUCAGCCUGGCACAGUGGCUUAUGCCUGUAAUCCCAGCACUCUGGGUGGCUGAGGCAGGAGGAUUACUUGGGCCCAGGAGCUCGACACCAGCCUGGAUGAUAUGGUGAAACCUCAUCUCUACUAAAAAUAUGGAAAAAUUAGCCAGGUGUAGUGGUGCACACCUGUAGUUACAGCUACUGGGGAGGCUUAAGUGGGAAAGAAAGUUGAGGCUGCAGUGAGCCAUGAUUGUACCACAGCACUUCUGCCUGGGUGACCAGAGUCAGACCUUGUCUCAAAAAAAAUUUUUUUCUUAAAUAAAUAAAUAUAGCAUCAAUACAGCAUUAUAAUAUGAUUAAUACUAUAUCAAUAAAAUAGAUACUUAGUCCUAAUGCCAAUGUCUUAUUUAAUAGAAAAGCACUCGAGGCAUUGUCAUUAAAACCAGGAAAAAGAUAAGGAUGUCCACUAUCUCUGCAACUAUUCAUCUUAUACUAGAAUUAUCAGCUAAUGCACUUAGACAAGAAGAGGCAUCUGGUCUGGUGCGGUGGCUCACGCCUGUAAUCCCAGCACUUUGAGAGGCCAAGGUGGGCGGAUCACUUGAGGCCAGGAGUUUGGGACCAGCCUGGCCGACAUAGCAAAACCCUGUCUGUACUAAAAAGAUGAAAAAUUAGCCAGGUGUGGUGGUGCAUGCCUGUGGUCCCAGCUACUCAGGAGGCUGAGGCAUGAGAAUUGCCUGAACCUAGGAGGUGGAGGUUGCAGUGAGCACCACUACACUGCACUGCAGCCUGAGCGACAGAGCGAGAUUCUGUCUCCAAAAAAAAAAAAAAAAAAAAAAAAAGAAAGAAGAGGCAUUUGAACAUUUGAAUGGAUAAAGAAGAAUGAAAAUUAUCUCUAUUUACAAA
RNAcentral lists this long non-coding RNA (4923 nucleotides) under Pan troglodytes (chimpanzee). RNAcentral describes it as "lncRNA (ENSPTRG00000054552.1)". The record is from RNAcentral. Lineage: Eukaryota; Metazoa; Chordata; Mammalia; Primates; Hominidae.